This 813-nucleotide ribosomal RNA is filed under the name Tetracoccosporium pseudoaerium. RNAcentral describes it as "partial large subunit ribosomal RNA". It matches the Rfam family "Eukaryotic large subunit ribosomal RNA", at positions 88 to 922 of the family's 3401-position model. The record is from RNAcentral. Lineage: Eukaryota; Fungi; Ascomycota.
GGCGAGUGAAGCGGCAACAGCUCAAAUUUGAAAUCUGGCGGUUCAGCCGUCCGAGUUGUAAUUUGUAGAGGGAGCCUCGGGUUGAGGGCCGGUCCAAGUUCCUUGGAACAGGAUACCGAAGAGGGUGAGAGUCCCGUCUCCGGCCGGCGCCAACGCCCGUGUGAGGCCCCUUCGACGAGUCGAGUUGUUUGGGAAUGCAGCUCUAAAUGGGUGGUAAAUUCCAUCUAAAGCUAAAUACUGGCCAGAGACCGAUAGCGAACAAGUAGAGUGAUCGAAAGAUGAAAAGCACUUUGAAAAGAGAGUCAAACAGUACGUGAAAUUGUUGAAAGGGAAGCGUAUGGGGCCAGACUUGGUCGCGGUGAUUCAGCCCGUCAUCUGGCGGGUGUACUUCGCCGCGGACAGGCCAGCAUCGGUUCCUGCGGGCGGACAAAGGCGUCGGGAAUGUAGCUCCCCUCGGGGAGUGUUAUAGCCCGGCGUGCAAUGCGUCCAGCUGGGGACCGAGGACCGCGCGUAUGCAAGGAUGCUGGCGUAAUGGCCUUAUACGGCCCGUCUUGAAACACGGACCAAGGAGUCUAACAUCUAUGCGAGUGUUUGGGUGUCAAGCCCGGGCGCGCAAUGAAAGUGAACGGAGGUGGGAGCUUCGGCGCACCAUCGACCGAUCCUGAUGUAUUCGGAAGGAUUUGAGUAAGAGCAUAGCUGUUGGGACCCGAAAGAUGGUGAACUAUGCGUGAAUAGGGUGAAGCCAGAGGAAACUCUGGUGGAGGCUCGCAGCGGUUCUGACGUGCAAAUCGAUCGUCAAAUUUGCGUAUAGGG